This 301-nucleotide ribosomal RNA is filed under the name uncultured bacterium. RNAcentral describes it as "partial 16S ribosomal RNA". It matches the Rfam family "Bacterial small subunit ribosomal RNA", at positions 509 to 807 of the family's 1533-position model. The record is from RNAcentral.
CAGCAGCCGCGGGAAUACGAAGGGUGCAAGCGUUACUCGGAAUUACUGGGCGUAAAGCGUGCGUAGGUGGUGGUUUAAGUCCGUUGUGAAAGCCCUGGGCUCAACCUGGGAAUUGCAGUGGAUACUGGCUCGCUAGAGUGUGUCAGAGGAUGGUGGAAUUCCCGGUGUAGCGGUGAAAUGCGUAGAGAUCGGGAGGAACAUCAGUGGCGAAGGCGGCCAUCUGGGACAACACUGACGCUGAGGCACGAAAGCGUGGGGAGCAAACAGGAUUAGAUACCCCCGUAGUCCCUGUCUCUUAUAC